AGUGAACGCUGGCGGCAGGCCUAACACAUGCAAGUCGAACGGCAGCACAAGAGAGCUUGCUCUCUGGGUGGCGAGUGGCGGACGGGUGAGGAAUGCAUCGGAAUCUGCCCAUUUGUGGGGGAUAACCUCGGGAAACCGGGACUAAUACCGCAUACGACCUACGGGUGAAAGCAGGGGAUCUUCGGACCUUGCGCAGAUGGAUGAGCCGAUGCCGGAUUAGCUAGUUGGAGGGGUAAAGGCCCACCAAGGCGACGAUCCGUAGCUGGUCUGAGAGGAUGAUCAGCCACACUGGAACUGAGACACGGCCCAGACUCCUACGGGAGGCAGCAGUGGGGAAUAUUGGACAAUGGGCGCAAGCCUGAUCCAGCCAUGCCGCGUGUGUGAAGAAGGCCUUCGGGUUGUAAAGCACUUUUGUUGGGAAAGAAAAGCAGCCGGUUAAUACCCGGUUGUCAUGACGGUACCCAAAGAAUAAGCACCGGCUAACUUCGUG
Molecule: ribosomal RNA, 490 nt
Filed under: uncultured bacterium
Lineage: Bacteria
Description: partial 16S ribosomal RNA
Rfam family: Bacterial small subunit ribosomal RNA
Source: RNAcentral